This 1065-nucleotide long non-coding RNA is filed under the name Arachis ipaensis. Its description in RNAcentral is "long non-coding RNA (AIPA_LNC000013)". The record is from RNAcentral. Lineage: Eukaryota; Viridiplantae; Streptophyta; Magnoliopsida; Fabales; Fabaceae.
UGCUUUCUUUUAUUUUUCUUUUUAUACAAAAUACUCUCUAUCUCUUUUUAGCAAAAAUAUAUUUCAACUAAAAGAUGGCUUUCAAGAAUGCUCUUUUGAUCCUUGCAAUUUUAGCCGUGAUUGUUCUAAUCCCUUCCGAGAUUCUAGCUCGGGACUUACCAGCAACAGGAUGUACCCCAGGAACAGGUUUGUUUUAGCAUUUAUAAAUACAAUUUCGCUAUGUUACCAACAAUAUUUCUGCCAACUUCUGCCAACUCUUAUUUAUGACUAUAUUUAAUGGAAAUGUCUUUAUGGAUGUGUCUAAUAAAAAUGUCUUUUUUAUGGCUGUAUCUAAUAGAAGUGUCUUUAUAGAUGUAUUUUCUGGAUGUGUUUCUUUAUACAUGUGUUUAAAAUAUAAUAAUUAAUUAUUGUUGGUAAUAAGUUGGCAGAUAGUAUAUUGGUAUCCUAUACUUUUCCUUAUAAAUAAGACAUAAAAAACAUUGUUUAUAAAAGGCUUUUACUUAUUAACUCUAAAUUCCCCUUUUUGAAUUAUGUUCAAAAGUGAAGAAAAACAUGUAUUUCAUUAUUUCAUUAUCAAGUAUCUAUAUUUAUAACAUAUGAUAUUUUCUUUUCAAGUAUGAUUGUAUUUCUCAUGUUAUAAAUUACAAAUUAUAAUUCAACAUGUUUCCAAACUUCCAUAUUCCUAAAAAUGUAUUAUUGUCUGCUUGCAGUUUAUAAAAUAGAAGGAAUACGUCAAAUUGCUGGACCAGUUGGGUUAGGAAAAGAUGGUAAUGACUUGGAUGGUGGAAACUACGACAUUCAAUGUCGCAAUCUUUGUUGUGUGCUGGGAUACACUGUAUGUUGCUAAUAGCAUACAAGUGAAAGACGUUAAUUUGUUACAUCUUUGCUAUGUUAAAUCUUGAAACUAGUAUAUGAGAAUAAAGGAAUAAAAUGUAUACCAUAAGCCUACACUUUAAUUUGGCAUACCAUAGGUUGAAUAAUAAUCAAUAGCUAUAUACAUAGCUUGCAAAAAUUUUGUAACUGGACCUAUCAGAGUUGCAUAAAUAAUAUUUUUCUUUUAUCCAA